GAUGAACGCUGGCGGCGUGCUUAACACAUGCAAGUCGAACGGAAAGGCCGAAGCUUGCUUCGGUACUCGAGUGGCGAACGGGUGAGUAACACGUGGGUGAUCUGCCCUGUACUUCGGGAUAAGCUUGGGAAACUGGGUCUAAUACCGGAUAUGACAAUCUCUUGGAUGGGGUUGUGGAAAGCUUUUGCGGUAUGGGAUGAGCUCGCGGCCUAUCAGCUUGUUGGUGGGGUAAUGGCCUACCAAGGCGUCGACGGGUAGCCGGCCUGAGAGGGUGUACGGCCACAGUGGGACUGAGAUACGGCCCAGACUCCUACGGGAGGCAGCAGUGGGGAAUAUUGCACAAUGGGCGCAAGCCUGAUGCAGCGACGCCGCGUGGGGGAUGACGGCCUUCGGGUUGUAAACUCCUUUCGCAACCGACGAAGCUUUUUGUGACGGUAGGUUGAGAAGAAGCACCGGCUAACUACGUG
RNAcentral lists this ribosomal RNA (467 nucleotides) under uncultured bacterium. RNAcentral describes it as "partial 16S ribosomal RNA". It matches the Rfam family "Bacterial small subunit ribosomal RNA", at positions 28 to 507 of the family's 1533-position model. The record is from RNAcentral.